This 253-nucleotide ribosomal RNA is filed under the name uncultured bacterium. Its description in RNAcentral is "partial 16S ribosomal RNA". It matches the Rfam family "Bacterial small subunit ribosomal RNA", at positions 524 to 776 of the family's 1533-position model. The record is from RNAcentral.
UACAGAGGGUGCGAGCGUUGUUCGGAAUUAUUGGGCGUCAAGGGCGCGUAGGCGGCCCGGUAAGUCAAAGGUGAAAUCCCUCGGCUCAACUGAGGAACUGCCUUUGAAACUGUCGGGCUUGAGGCCGGGAGGGGGUAGCGGAAUUCCCAGUGUAGCGGUGAAAUGCGUAGAUAUUGGGAGGAACACCAGUGGCGAAGGCGGCUACCUGGACCGGUUCUGACGCUGAGGCGCGAAAGCGUGGGUAGCAAACAGG